CUGUUCGAUCACAAUCUAAUAUUUCGUUUUGACUCUUCCAGUAGAGGGCUGUUCGAGAGCAUGCGCACAACCGCAGCAAGAGAACCUUAUUCCUCCUGUCACAACAUUGAGGGGCAAAACGACAGCCGUGUGGUGUCUGGCUUCUAAUAGAUCUGUGAAGACAUAGAAUGUGAUUGGAAUGGAAGCUCGGAGAAGGAGUCCCUGAUUGGCCGAAAGACGAGGCGGGUGCACAUACCAAACGAAUCGAUCCUGUCUCAAAUGAUGCAGGCAGAGGAUAGGAAGAAAAGGAGUUUCAGCAAGGGCGUGGCGGAGGAAUAUUGUCUAAGAGUGAGUAGGCCUGGACCUGACCGCACCUGAGCUCAUUAUCAUAUCCUGACAACAUUAUACCUGUUGGGUGAAAAGUUAAGUGUUGCCCAAGUUUCUGCCAGCAAACUAACAACUGUGUCAUUUCAGGAGCGACCAAACGAGGACACCGUAAAAAUGAAGAACAAAGUGACAAGCACACAAGCAGUGAGGGGUAAGAAGAAGGCAUGGUCGUGGGAUCAGUACCUGGGAGAGGAGAAGGUCACAGCAGCAACCCUAAGACUCUUCACUGAGGUAAGCGUCACCUUCAUCAACCAGUAGGUAUAUAGUACAUUCGGAAAGUAUUCAGACCCCUUGACUUUUUCCACAUUUU
Molecule: long non-coding RNA, 676 nt
Organism: Salmo trutta (river trout)
Lineage: Eukaryota; Metazoa; Chordata; Actinopteri; Salmoniformes; Salmonidae
Source: Ensembl